RNAcentral lists this ribosomal RNA (207 nucleotides) under uncultured bacterium. RNAcentral describes it as "partial 16S ribosomal RNA". It matches the Rfam family "Bacterial small subunit ribosomal RNA", at positions 1286 to 1500 of the family's 1533-position model. The record is from RNAcentral.
UCUCAGUUCGGAUUGGAGUCUGCAACCCGACUCCAUGAAGCUGGAUUCGCUAGUAAUCGCGCAUCAGCCACGGCGCGGUGAAUACGUUCCCGGGCCUUGUACACACCGCCCGUCAAGCCAUGGAAGCCGGGAGUGCCUGAAGUGCGUGAGCGCAAGCAGCGCCCUAAGGUAAAACCGGUGACUGGGGCUAAGUCGUAACAAGGUACC